GAUGAACGCUGGCGGCGUGCUUAACACAUGCAAGUCGAACGAAGCACUCUACUUGAUCUCUUCGGAGUGAUUGUUUUGUGACUGAGUGGCGGACGGGUGAGUAACGCGUGGGUAACCUGCCUCAUACAGGGGGAUAACAGUUGGAAACGACUGCUAAUACCGCAUAAGCGCACAGGGUCGCAUGACCUGGUGUGAAAAACUCCGGUGGUAUGAGAUGGACCCGCGUCUGAUUAGCCAGUUGGUGGGGUAACGGCCUACCAAAGCGACGAUCAGUAGCCGACCUGAGAGGGUGACCGGCCACAUUGGGACUGAGACACGGCCCAAACUCCUACGGGAGGCAGCAGUGGGGAAUAUUGCACAAUGGGGGAAACCCUGAUGCAGCGACGCCGCGUGAGCGAAGAAGUAUUUCGGUAUGUAAAGCUCUAUCAGCAGGGAAGAAGAAAUGACGGUAC
Molecule: ribosomal RNA, 452 nt
Filed under: uncultured bacterium
Lineage: Bacteria
Description: bacterial SSU rRNA
Rfam family: Bacterial small subunit ribosomal RNA
Source: RNAcentral